UCCUGGUUCUUAGACUUUCAGAUCUGGGCUGGAAUAUCCACCACUGGUUCCUCUGGUUCUAAGGCCCAUAGACUCAGCCUGAAUUACACCACCAGCUUUCGUGGGUCUUCGGCUUGCAGAUGGCAGAUCAUGGGACUUCUCAGCCUCCAAAAUUAUGAUUAUACUCACAGAAAAAGUAAUCUUUGCAGACAGAGAAGAGACCUUUAUUGGCAUGUGGUGCAGAGUGAGAUGGUCUGCUAACUCGGGGGACACAGCAGUGAAUAUGGUAUUGACUUUGCCCUUUAGGAGCUUAUAAAGAUCAUGACCACAAAGAAGAAACGUAUAUAAACAAGUACCUCUGCAUUAUGCACAGCCUGCACUAUUUUCCCUAGAGACAAGGUCUAAGAUGUAGACAGAAGAUGGCAAGUGAAGUUGAGAAUACAGAUCACUGCAGACGGCCUGUGGAGGUAUCUG
Molecule: long non-coding RNA, 453 nt
Organism: Canis lupus familiaris (dog)
Lineage: Eukaryota; Metazoa; Chordata; Mammalia; Carnivora; Canidae
Exons: 4
Source: RefSeq, a predicted model, not a curated record